This 71-nucleotide transfer RNA is filed under the name Caudoviricetes sp. RNAcentral's name for it is "tRNA-Trp". It matches the Rfam family "tRNA". From Rfam's summary of the family: Transfer RNA (tRNA) molecules are approximately 80 nucleotides in length. Their secondary structure includes four short double-helical elements and three loops (D, anti-codon, and T loops). Further hydrogen bonds mediate the characteristic L-shaped molecular structure. tRNAs have two regions of fundamental functional importance: the anti-codon, which is responsible for specific mRNA codon recognition, and the 3' end, to which the tRNAs corresponding amino acid is attached (by aminoacyl-tRNA synthetases). tRNAs cope with the degeneracy of the genetic code in two manners: having more than one tRNA (with a specific anti-codon) for a particular amino acid; and 'wobble' base-pairing, i.e. permitting non-standard base-pairing at the 3rd anti-codon position. The record is from RNAcentral. Lineage: Duplodnaviria; Heunggongvirae; Uroviricota; Caudoviricetes.
GUGCCUUUGGUGCAAUGGUAGCAUCGCAGUCUCCAAAACUGUUGAUAGAGGUUCAAAUCCUUUAAGGCGCG